AGAAGAGUUUGGAAGAAGAAAACAUGCUGCGCCGACCCCAAAUAAAAUUGGGAUAAGGGCAGGAGGAUGAUGAUGAUGAUCCAGAAGUGGGUUUAAUAGGAAAGCAAACAUGAUCAUUCAUUUUAGCACAGUAUACCUAAUCGUAUUAUUCCUUAUCAGAACUGAAUCGUUAAAAGUUGCACAUGUACACAUACAGAAGUCAUCAUCGUUCCACCACCGUAAUCAAUCGAUUAUAAUAAAAGUAUUGUAAUCAAAAUGAAUAACGUCAUAAGUACUGAAACAAAACGUGAAUAGUGUAACCAGUCACCAGUGUUAUAUUAAACUGCGCAAUACACAUUUUAUACACAUUAAACCUUUUUAUGCAAACAGUUCUCUUAAUUUAAUUUCCUCUAAAAAAAUAUUUCGAUGGGGGGAAAAGUGUCUAAACGAGCUUUAAUAAAAAGAUAGUGAAUACUUACAUCAACAUACUGUACGUCUAGCGGUGGACGGGAAUGGUAGUAGAGUAGCAGAAGUGCGUCGAUGCCAACUCCGCACACCAGACCGAUCUCGAUACCCAGGAAUAGGCAGCACAGGAACGUGCCCAAAAGCGGGAUGAUGUCCAGCCCUGUUUAAUUGUAAACUAAUGGGGAGACACGAAAUAACAAAAGCAACAAUGGAUGAAACUUGGCAACUCUUGAACUUCGUCGUCUACCAUCAAGUGGAAUAACAUUAUAAUCUUUAGUGGGAUUACAAGGGGCCCUCCAAGUACCUGGCUGAAUACGAAAAUGGAAUUUAAUGGAAUACUAUAGUAGCACGGCGCACACGAUGACGGAGGCCAGCGCGGCGCGAGGGAUGAAGUAGAAGUAUGGCGUCAGCAAUACUAACAAGCAGAAUGUACCCAGUUCUAUUAAACGGAGCCACAAAUGGUUGUAACAAUUAAUAUCAAUAAUUCAGCUACUAAUUCCGAGUGUCCCUAUUUCAACACACCUGUAUAGUACUCCUAAUUAAUACAGGAUCUAUUGAGAGAUUAACACGAACGUUAAUUGCAUCGCUAUUAUUACGAUUACAAUCGAGACGUGACACUGAAGGAGAAAUAAUGGCUUGUUACGAUGUGCUAUAAAUAAAUAGUUCUCAAGAUAAAUCUGUUACUGAUAAUAAUCUUCUUUGUGACAUAUAAAUUAGUCUGGACUUGGUGACCUGUAAUAAUUACAGUAAUUAAUUACGAAGAAUUACAAGCAAUUGAUAUAAAUUGAUUUGAAAAGUUACGUUUUGAAGAAGUGAGGUUCCAUCAAAAAAAUAUGAGUUAUAAAGAACAAUAACAACAGUGCAAUGUGCAUCAUAACAUACAAAUCCAGAUGGUGUUAUGACAAAGGAUAAGUCGAAACCAAUCACACAAACUAUAAUAAAAACAAUGAAAUCGGCAAAUCGCCAUGAAUACCCGAAAAGGUGAAUGUAUUCAACACAAUAGAGUCACAAAUUUACGUGACAGACAGAUAAAGGGAGCCUCUUGAUAUUUCAGACGUGUAUUUGAAAUUGUAAAACAACACAAACUUGGCUAUGACAGUAAACUACGAUGCAAACUUUUAGAUUUAUGAAGUACCCACUACAUAACUCCACCGCGCUGUUGUCGCACAUGGUAAAAAUGAUUUAUGUCGGUAGAUUUACAUUUGUCUUACUUCAACCACCCAUUUCUGUUAAAACUAAUCCUAAGAUUAAACGGCGGAGAUUUCGCGUCUCCAAAAUUAAACAACCCACAAAUCACCCGUGGUUGUUCGAAAUUCAAAGAAGUUUCGAAGGAUUUCACUGAACUGAAUUUAAAACCCAAGCAGGCGAUAAUAUUGCAUCAUUUAUUGGAUGUCUCUUUUAAUGUAUUAAUUAUUCAACCGAUUAGAGAAACAUUUCAAUUCGUGCUCUUUGUUCGUUAAUAAGCUAGAUCAUGACGCUUUAAUGUUUCGUCGUUCUAUUUUGUGAAUCGAACUAUAAACACAUUUUGAAUAAUAGAUAAGUGUUGUGAUUAAAUUCAAUAACAUAGAACUAUGGGAGUGUAAAACAUAAUUGAUUAAUUACGCCUGUUAUGGAUACAAUAUAAUUCACAACAUGAUAGUCAUUAUGUAAGGCAACAUAAGAUGUUGCUUCUACUUACAUUAAUACAAAAAAAGAGCUGUUUACCCAAGUCAAGGCUUACUCUGAUUUCUCCAAAUAAUCCAAGCCACAAUGUUAAUGUCGGACUAACAAAACUCUAUUGAGAUUCAAUUGGGGCGAGUAAAUAUUCAUUGGGAACACCCUGAAUAAUGUAAAGUCGAAACAGACCAAGUUUGCAGGUUGACAUAAUGCGACACACGAUCUUUGACCUAAGAUACGCAGGAACAAGUUUAUAUAUAUUAGAGGAUUUAGGAUAUUAAAACCAAAAAUAAAAUUGAUAACAGAUUAUAAUAAAUGAAAAUGUAAAAUUGACUGUAAACUUUGGGUAUGUUAACUACGUAGUAGAACCACAUCACUAUGUUCAAAAAGAUGGCGAAAUGAGUAAAUCAUGCCAAAACAUUAAAAAAAUAAACAGAUGGUUUGUAAUGAACACCUGUGUAGAUACCAAAAUGCUGCAUGACACGUGAUAAUAUAACACUGUCCGAAAGUGUAGAGUUUAACCGUAGAGUGUGCGUUGGUUUCACUUGAGUCAAUAUUAAAAGUGUGACUUUGGUUUUAUCGCUUGGCUGCAGCCUAUAAAUGUAAACAAUCGAAUAAAGUGUAAACUAAAAAGUGAAAAUUAUAUACACAAUUAAAUAUUAAUUAUCAAUGGACACGCACUACUGACUCAUACGUGAGAAAGUCCCUGAACAGAAGACACAUACAGUAUACAAUCACAAUAGAACCCAAUUAGGGAGGUACGUACAAAAGACAAAAACAAAACACUGUCAAAACAAUGUUCCUAGAAAAACUAAUCUUGAAGAAGGAUCAAGUGUGAUAUAAAACGGCAACGAUAAAGUUAUCUUUUGUGUAAAGCGAAUGCGAUAGAAGUGGAAAGGAAUGAAAAAUUGCAAGUAGAAUCGCUCCGGUAUUAAGGUCUUUAGCGAUUUAUUCUAUAUCUUUUGGUGAGUAUAUUGUUAGACCUAUUUACUUUUUAAAUAAUCUGGAAAGGAGUAGAUCAGCAACUUAUUUUCUUAUUUACAAACAUUUAAAACCAAAAAUUAUAGACAUUGAUCUAAAUGAACUAACUAUACUACACUUUUAUGAGGGCAAAUACACUUGGGCCUGCGUUCGUUAUACAGAAUACGAUUAUAUCGAAUUUGUGAUAGGAAAUUUUCAAGUAAUAAAUGCAAGUGCUAUCGAUAAAGACAGCCCCCUAGCAUAUUAGUACCUAACGCAAUCACUGACGAGCGCGGACGUUGAAUGCACGAUGCAUGAAAUUACAAUUCCACGAACAGUAUUACAUCCAAAGUUUUCCCCAACUUUGCUGUAAAACCACCGGGAAAUGAAGUACGGUUCAAUUUGAACGAUGUUUUCAUAAAAACAAAGUUGAUUAUUGCACUUAAAACAAUCUCAAAAGUUAACAGGCUAACAAACACGGAAUGGACCCGUCAAAAUGACAAGUGCCAAAAGCCGUCGCAUCGUCAAAACAUUACAAAGUUAAACAGCUAACAAAUUGUCACAAAAUAAAUUGAAACAAAGAAAGUCGUAAAUAGCCAAAGAUCGAGGAAGCAAGAUUUAUGUCGCGUUUUUAUACAUGUUCAUCUGUUUUUCCAGAAUACACGAGCUAAACGCUAGUACGAUGUACCUAACUUAUGUAGGCUGAGAUUUAGUUUUGAGCCGGACGUGUGUGUAAGUUUUACGUAUAUAGCAACUUUAAACUUCGAAUAGCAAUAGAUUUAACCGUCAUAAAAUCUAGUGUUAGUUCAAGUAAAAUGCAAAUUCAGCAUAAAUAUUAUAAAUAGAAAAAAACCCCUUAAAUACUAAAACUUUACUUUAAAGUCACACGUAAAUCUCUUUCUCGCCGUGUAUCGUUGUUUAUCCUUUCUCGUUGUCGUAGAAAUUUACGUUAAACGUCAUGAGUGGCGUUUCAGUAUUCGGCCAUCAUUAUUUCAAAAGUCAAACUCAUAAGGAAUUGGAUUCGUGUUCAGGAUUUCUUUACAGAUCAAACCUUUCAUGCGUAAAGUGAAAGUUGUCAGAUCCGUAUCAAAAAUAAUGCCGUACAAAAUAAAUGUACCGAAAACCAAUAAAUCAACCGCACAAACCGGCUAAUCACAUAAUCCCUCAUAAUCCUAAAGGUACGUACGUAAUAAAUGUAGCUACUAACAUUGAACACGUUUAUCCUUUCACACAAGCCGGUAGCGUAUCUGGUGCAAAAUUAUACCAAUUGGAGCAAAAUGCUAGUCUUACAAAUACUACAUUUGACCUAUUUCUAGAUGCUGCGGGAUCGAAAGAGUUACCGCGGCCCUGGUACAUAAAAGGCCUACGAAGGAACACGAUGGAUUUUUAUGGUCUCUGCACACAGCGGGCGCGGCGCGGCGCGGCGGGACGGGACGGCAACGCGACACAAUGUACUAGAUCGUCACGUCGCGUCGCGCCGAGCGGGACGGCUCUGUGUGGCGGCCUCCGUAAUAUCUAGUACAUUACAACUGCUCAGCGUCGCGUCGCCGUACCGUCCCGCCGCGCCCCGCCCGCUGUGUGCAGAGACCUUUAGUCGGUAAUAGCCUGACACUCCCUCACCGCUGCUAACCCACAGCGGGAGGGAUCAUUUGAUGAUUUUUGCCAUCGCUAAAAAACCUAUUUCUAGAUUUAGUGAGU
Molecule: long non-coding RNA, 4758 nt
Organism: Helicoverpa armigera (cotton bollworm)
Lineage: Eukaryota; Metazoa; Arthropoda; Insecta; Lepidoptera; Noctuidae
Exons: 5
Source: RefSeq, a predicted model, not a curated record